GACGAACGCUGGCGGCGUGCUUAACACAUGCCAGUCGAACGGAAAGGCCCUGCUUUUGUGGGGUGCUCGAGUGGCGAACGGGUGAGUAACACGUGAGUAACCUGCCCUUGACUUUGGGAUAACUUCAGAAAACUGGGGCUAAUACCGGAUAGGAGCUCCUGCUGCAUGGUGGGGGUUGGAAAGUUUCGGCGGUUGGGGAUGGACUCGCGGCUUAUCAGCUUGUUGGUGGGGUAGUGGCUUACCAAGGCUUUGACGGGUAGCCGGCCUGAGAGGGUGACCGGCCACAUUGGGACUGAGAUACGGCCCAGACUCCUACGGGAGGCAGCGGUGGGGAAUAUUGCACAAUGGGCGGAAGCCUGAUGCAGCAACGCCGCGUGCGGGAUGACGGCCUUCGGGUUGUAAACCGCUUUCGCCUGUGACGAAGCGUGAGUGACGGUAAUGGGUAAAGAAGCACCGGCUAACUACGUG
This 468-nucleotide ribosomal RNA is filed under the name uncultured bacterium. RNAcentral describes it as "partial 16S ribosomal RNA". It matches the Rfam family "Bacterial small subunit ribosomal RNA", at positions 28 to 507 of the family's 1533-position model. The record is from RNAcentral.